GCAGCGGAGCGUGUGGUUAAUUCGAUGCAACGCGAAGAACCUUACCAGGGUUUGACAUGCUUAAAGUAGAACCCGAAAGAGGGACGACCUGUAUCCCAGGUCAGGAGUUUGCACAGGUGCUGCAUGGCUGUCGUCAGCUCGUGCCGUGAGGUGUUAGGUUAAGUCCUGCAACGAGCGCAACCCUCGUCGCUAGUUGUUUUCUCUAGCGAUACUGCCCGUAUAACGUGGAGGAAGGUGGGGAUGACGUCAAGUCAGCAUGGCCCUUACAUCCUGGGCCUACACACACGCUACAAUGGGUGAUACAACAGGUUGCAAUAGAGUAAUCUGGAGCCAAUCCCUAAAAUCAUCCUCAGUACGGAUUGCAGGCUGCAACUGCCUGCAUGAAGUUGGAGUUGCUAGUAAACGCAGGUCAGCACACUGCGUUGAAUACGUUCUCGGGCCUU
RNAcentral lists this ribosomal RNA (443 nucleotides) under uncultured Chloroflexota bacterium. RNAcentral's name for it is "bacterial SSU rRNA". It matches the Rfam family "Bacterial small subunit ribosomal RNA", at positions 929 to 1382 of the family's 1533-position model. The record is from RNAcentral. Lineage: Bacteria; Bacillati; Chloroflexota.